RNAcentral lists this ribosomal RNA (450 nucleotides) under uncultured bacterium. RNAcentral describes it as "partial 16S ribosomal RNA". It matches the Rfam family "Bacterial small subunit ribosomal RNA", at positions 338 to 795 of the family's 1533-position model. The record is from RNAcentral.
CCUACGGGGGGCAGCAGUGGGGAAUUUUCCACAAUGGGCGAAAGCCUGAUGGAGCAACGCCGCGUGUGUGAUGAAGGUCUUCGGAUCGUAAAGCACUUUCGACCGGGACGAAAAACCUCUGGCUAACAUCCAGGGGCCUGACGGUACCGGGAGAAGAAGCACCGGCUAACUCUGUGCCAGCAGCCGCGGUAAUACAGAGGGGGCAAGCGUUGUUCGGAAGCGCUGGGCGUAAGGCGGGCAAGUGAGAUGUGAAAGCCCAUGGCUUAACCAUGGAAGUGCGUCUGAAACUGCCGAGCUUGAGUGCCGGAGAGGAUGGCGGAAUUCCGCAAGUAGAGGUGAAAUUCGUAGAUAUGCGGAGGAACACCGGUGGCGAAGGCGGCCAUCUGGACGGUAACUGACGCUGAGACGCGAAAGCGUGGGGAGCAAACAGGAUUAGAUACCCUUGUAGUC